GCCCUUCCCAAGACCUCUCGAAGGCCUUAUAUUCGGAAGUGCCGGGCAACCGGCUAUGGCGCUAAACGCCCUGCAGAAUAAACAUUGCGGACCCGGGGGCGGUACCCGGCGCCUCCACCAUUUUCCGGCCCCUGGGCCGGUUUCGGGGGCGAAACAGGAUCGACGCGUGUGGUAAAGGCAUGGUUUGUGCUCGGCAUGGUUCCGCCGUUAUCGGGCCGUUUCACAAGAGCCAACGACAACGAGGCUCUCGCCAUUGCUGCGUAACCGACGCCCCUAACGGGGCAUGGUUAUAAGCUUUAGCGCGGUCCGGGGGGCACCGGGCAACAGAAGCCCCCCACU
Molecule: transfer-messenger RNA, 339 nt
Filed under: Alphaproteobacteria bacterium
Lineage: Bacteria; Pseudomonadati; Pseudomonadota; Alphaproteobacteria
Rfam family: Alphaproteobacteria transfer-messenger RNA
About the family: Bacterial tmRNA, also known as 10Sa RNA or SsrA, is named for its dual tRNA and mRNA-like properties. Its role is to liberate the mRNA from a stalled ribosome. To accomplish this part of the tmRNA is used as a reading frame that ends in a translation stop signal.
Source: RNAcentral